CCUGAUCCACAGAGACCAUGAGUUAAUAAAUGUUUGUUGUUUUAACGCAUUGUUUUAUGGUAAUUUGUUAUGCACCCACAGGUAACACCUGGUAAGUAGAAUGGAUGGAGAACAGGAAGAAAAGAAAAUCACCCUGAAGACAAAAGAAAACAGAAAAGGAAGACCAGAAAAGGGAGGACCUACCUGGCAGAGGAAUAAAAUCUACUUCGCUGAUACUUCUAACAUUGAAGGUGGAGGAAAAUAAUCCAAUUUAGAGGCCAAUCAUUUGAACAAGCGCGUGAUAAGGCUACCAGUAAUAUGUCAAGAAUCUGCACCCAGCAUUGCCUUUAUCUGACUGCCAACUCUGCAUCACCAUCACGUACCAGCCCUCUAUAACGGUCAGAUGGUAAGUAGAGGUGGGUGGGUAGGGGAUUGGGGGGGCUACUUUUUUAAGUAUGAAGAAGAAACAUAGAGGAAUAUAAGAAUAUCUUGCUUGAAACAUAAUCUCUAGGCCUGGGAGAAAUUGCCUUCAUCCUUCCUUCCUGUCCCCACAUCACCAAAGCUCCACCCUGCUCCUCCUUAGGGCAGGGAUAGAGCAUUAGAAGAAAGCAGGACAGUUUCCAGCUGUGCCACUCCUUUCUAGAGACAAAAGCAUUUGCUUUUUUUCUUCCUG
Molecule: long non-coding RNA, 652 nt
Filed under: Piliocolobus tephrosceles (Ugandan red Colobus)
Lineage: Eukaryota; Metazoa; Chordata; Mammalia; Primates; Cercopithecidae
Description: lncRNA (ENSPTEG00000003896.1)
Source: RNAcentral